GCGCCCUUAGCUCAGUUGGAUAGAGCAACAGCCUUCUAAGCUGUGGGUCGGUGGUUCGAAUCCACCAGGGCGCGCCA
Molecule: transfer RNA, 77 nt
Filed under: Gluconacetobacter diazotrophicus
Lineage: Bacteria; Pseudomonadati; Pseudomonadota; Alphaproteobacteria; Acetobacterales; Acetobacteraceae
Also listed under: 14 other names
Description: tRNA-Arg
Rfam family: tRNA
About the family: Transfer RNA (tRNA) molecules are approximately 80 nucleotides in length. Their secondary structure includes four short double-helical elements and three loops (D, anti-codon, and T loops). Further hydrogen bonds mediate the characteristic L-shaped molecular structure. tRNAs have two regions of fundamental functional importance: the anti-codon, which is responsible for specific mRNA codon recognition, and the 3' end, to which the tRNAs corresponding amino acid is attached (by aminoacyl-tRNA synthetases). tRNAs cope with the degeneracy of the genetic code in two manners: having more than one tRNA (with a specific anti-codon) for a particular amino acid; and 'wobble' base-pairing, i.e. permitting non-standard base-pairing at the 3rd anti-codon position.
Source: RNAcentral